GACCCUAAAAAGUCCUUUAAACACAAAGGUUUGGUCCUGACCUUGAGAUCAAUUAUUACUUAAUAUACACAUGCAAGUCUCCGCACCCCUGUGAAAACGCCCUUAAAUCCCCGCUAGGGAUAAGGAGCUGGUAUCAGGCACACAUGCCCAAGACACCUAGCUAUGCCACACCCACAAGGGACCUCAGCAGUGAUUAACAUUGAAUAUAAGCGACAGCUUGAUUCAGUUAAAGUAAAGCAGAGCCGGCAAAUCUGGUGCCAGCCGCCGCGGUUACACCACGUGGCUCAAAUUGAUAUCUAUCGGCGUAAAGCGUGAUUAAAGUCCAACCAUUAUUUGAGUUAAACUAAAACUAAGCUGUGACACGCUUGUGCUUAAGAAACCCAUAAACGAAAGUUACUCCAACUUAAACAACUUGAACUCACGACAGCUAAGAAACAAACUGGGAUUAGAUACCCCACUAUGCUUAGUCGUAAACUUUAAAUUACACCCGAAUCGCCAGGGAACUACGAGCAAAGCUUAAAACCCAAAGGACUUGACGGUACCCCACAUCCAC
RNAcentral lists this ribosomal RNA (553 nucleotides) under Vitreorana eurygnatha (Rio glass frog). Its description in RNAcentral is "partial small subunit ribosomal RNA". It matches the Rfam family "Bacterial small subunit ribosomal RNA", at positions 8 to 930 of the family's 1533-position model. The record is from RNAcentral. Lineage: Eukaryota; Metazoa; Chordata; Amphibia; Anura; Centrolenidae.